Molecule: long non-coding RNA, 986 nt
Filed under: Cyanistes caeruleus (blue tit)
Lineage: Eukaryota; Metazoa; Chordata; Aves; Passeriformes; Paridae
Description: lncRNA (ENSCCEG00000002950.1)
Source: RNAcentral
CUUAGUUUCACUACAAACUAAUACAAACUUAUUUCCCCUUAAAAUAUUUCUUCCAUGAUUGAUUAGUCAAGAUGGCAGUCUCAGAUCAAGACUUGCUGAAGAAAUGUCAUUAAUAAUAAUCCUUUUUGCCACAGUAGUAUGACAGUGAAGGCUGAAUACAGACAAAGCUCCUUAUUGGAAGGAGAAGCUCUUGGUGACCUGCAAUUACAAAAAACCUAAAUAACAUUUUCCUUAACUACAGUGGCCAUGGAGAGGGGAGAGAAGAUAGCACAGGUGGAAAAGAGAGAAAAUGAAGAAAAAGGAAAAAAAUAAUCAGAUGCAAGAACAUUAGACACCUGCAUUUCUUUCCUAGGAGCUUCAUAAGCUCAUUGGACUGGAAUAUGCUUUCACCUACAUUUAGCAAAUUCAGGAAAAAUUCUGCUGAAGGCAACAGUUAUAUACAUACAAAAAUUGUAUAAGGCCCACUGUGUCUGCAGACACAAUUCUGUAUAUUCACUAUCUGGCUGUUUUGCAAGUACAGGUACCCUACUGUGUUUCUGUUCCAAUGAAAGAAUCUGGAAGCACUUCAAAAUAACAAAAUCUCCCUAGUCCUUUGAAGCUGGCCUUUGAACCUACUGAGACAGCUGGUAGCGACAUGGUGUGGGCAUGGUAUUACCCUGGUUUCCUAUUGAAGAGCUGUAUAUGGAUGACAAAAGGAGAAAGAGCAUUACUACACAAGGCCAUUUGAAGAGGAAACACAAGUUAUUAUGGGGGAAAUAUGGAGCACCUUUUCAGUUUUUUUAUGUUGGUGAGGGACUUAGAAAUCCAAGAAGUCCUUGGAAGGAUAUACAUUUCAAGGUUAUCAGGUAAAAUGAACGAACAAGGAAACUGACAAAAACUAUGAGAUAAAACUUAUACUGUCUCAAAAAUAAUUGGUGUAUAUAUAUAAUAUUUAAACAUAUAAAUAAUAUAAUAAAUAAAUAAAUAAAUAAAUAAAUAUUCUAUCA